Chelonia mydas (Green sea turtle) is the source of this 1028-nucleotide long non-coding RNA. RefSeq lists it as uncharacterized. The transcript is spliced from 3 exons. The record is from RefSeq and is a predicted model, not a curated record. Lineage: Eukaryota; Metazoa; Chordata; Testudines; Cheloniidae.
UCACUGCAGGAUCAAAUCUAGUCUGUGGAAGCCACACUUGGAUCUGCACCAAACCCAUAUGCACCCAGAGGCUACCUCGCCGAGCUGUCUCUGAUAGGUCCUCAAUUCCUUCUCCUUCCCCAAAGAACUGCUGCAAGCAGGUCUACUGGAACCAGAUCCUUCAGAGCCAAGAGCUGCCGACAUAACAUUACAUCCUGGAUUCUGGAAUCUGUACACCUGAAGGAAUAAGAAUAAAAAGAUAUUGGCAGCCUGGAGCUCAAGAAUAUUACCAUGAAGGCUUGACAGAGGAUUGAGAAUUAAAGGACUAAUAAGCAGACUUAGGAAAAAAAAUUACUUCCUAGUAGGACUCUUUAUAAAACCGUGGGCUUUCUUCUGGUGCUGUCACAAUCCAUUCGACUGUCAAUAAAGAUUUCUUUUCAUAGUCUAAAUAUAUUAUUCCAGGAGGCUUGAAUAGCACAGUUAUGCUAUGCCUACAUUGUAGACUAAGGGGGUGAUUCCCCUGCUUGCACACACAUACUUUUGCCAGCUCUCAUCAAACUAGUGCAAAAAUAAAUAGCAGUGUAGCUGUAGCCGCUGAACCGUGCCUAGUACAAACCUGCCUGAAACCAGCGGGUAUGUACUUGGCACUGCUCAGCCAUGCCUCUGUUGCUGCUACCAGCACUACCACAGCUAGGCUGCUAUUUAUACUCGCGCUAGCUCAAUGACAGCCAGCACGAGUAUGUGUACCGGAGGAGGGCAUCCCCCCCCCUCCGCCCCAGCUCAUAAUGUUGCCAUAGCCUUAGUAUAAUCACGUCAAUAAAAAUCCCAUGUCUGCCCAAGAGAUGAUGGGAAGCAAGCUAGUAAAUAUUCAAGUUUAAACAACUCCUUCGACAUUUCACUUUGGCUCUAGGUCCCAAGAAAUGUGGUUUUGCAUAAAGAUAAGAAUGAUAUAUGUUGAUUUGUAUGCAGAGGGAUGUAGCACACUGAUCCUCAUAACUUUGCACAACAGAUUCUAAAUUUCAUUCAGAAAACCUGCUCUUCACUCACCU